GCCAUUCUAUAGGCUACUCCGCCUGUCUUGUAAACAGGGGGUCGCCGGUUCGAAUCCGGCAGGGGGCUCCA
RNAcentral lists this transfer RNA (71 nucleotides) under Arthrobacter woluwensis. Its description in RNAcentral is "tRNA_Ser_CGA". The record is from RNAcentral. Lineage: Bacteria; Bacillati; Actinomycetota; Actinomycetes; Micrococcales; Micrococcaceae.